UGUACCAACGAAACUAAAACCUCUGUGUUAUUUUAUUACUAGCAUGUUUGUGUUUAUGAAAAGGAAGCAACAAUGGAAAGUGAAUUUCCGUAAAGAAUAAAGAAUUUUGAAGCAUUUAUUUUCAUACCAACUUAUUGUAACAAAUGAUUAUGGAAGUAUCAAAGUAUGAAAUGAACGAUAAAUACAAACAUUAUUUGCAAAGUUCAUUUCAUUAUCAGCAACCCAGUAAAUACCUUUGCAUUGACGCAAGAAAAGAGAGGGUCAUAGCUGAGCCAUCAAAAACACAAUUGGUGACAAAAACUGGUCCACAUGAUCUUCCAUUUAAUGUUAAACUAAAGCAUUCACGACACAAUGUACGACCAAACAAACAUAUGAUAAAAAAAACGACCGACCCCAACAGCCUUUGCAAGUUGAAAACAAGACUAGCAAUAGAAUAUGUUCGUAGUCUUCUCCCGGAUAAACCACCACAAGAUCGUCCCGUAUCUCGACAAAAAAGUUUGAGAAAAAAUGGACCGUUGAAGACUCUCUUUUUCCCGGCAAGAUUUCUUUCUGAGCCUAGCGUUGCCAAAUGUCUAGGCAUCCAAAAUGAUCGCUUCAAAAACUCCUUCGAUGGUUUGCAAGUUUGUGAAAACGUCCAAAGUCUGGAUGUAUCAAGGUGUUCUUCAGCCAGCCAACGGAUCUCUCAAAACAGUUUGCCCGUUGAUCUUCGUAGGCUGUCGCUGGCAGAAGAAUGUGAGACAACUCAACUAGAUCAUUGUCAUGGUGUACAAGGGCAAGAUAGAAAUGACUUUGCACAAAAUCAACGAAUCAUUUCUGUAAAUGAAGAAGCAAAUGACAAUGUUAUUGAUAUUCAUGAUUCCAAACAGGCAGCUGGUGUUGAUGAAUGGACUGGUCAACUUUCUAAAGGUGAAAGGGAUUUAGAUAGCAAGAAAUCGUGUAACACAGAUCCUUUAGAUAGAAUCUAUGAUGCAGAUAUUCAUAAUGUUAUUAGCUCACAUGAUGAUAAAGACAAUCAUCUAAAAUCAACUCACUGCAAUGUGGAAUUAUCUUCCAGUGAUAGCGUAAAAAUAAACGAUGAUGUUUACAAAGAUCGAAUCAUUAAAAAGUUAUCAGUUUCUUCAAGAACGUGCUACUCUUCGACAGAAAAUGACUUUAAUUUGCUGGAGAACCGUGCUUCACAAAAGAAAACUAAAUGCAGAAUAACAAACAUGUCACGUAUUAAUUCAACAGAAAAAAACAAAGAUGACUCUUACUACUCCAAGUUCCAAGAAGAACAUAUUGAACAUGAACAUGAUCGUUAUUCAAACUUAGAUGGACAAAAUACUAACUACUCAGAAAUGUUACUAAAAAAAUGCACAAUGCAAUCUUCAAAUUCAAGAAACACCAUUUAUUUAAGGAAAAAAAAUACCAAACGUAAAUCAGACGAGGACAGUGUCCAUGUGAGAGAUAUUUGGAAAGCUUUGGUGGACGGUGGAUAUGACGUUUCUAGAAAAGAAAUCUCAAAAUACAAAUUUGAGUCGACAGAUUCAAGACAAAAAUCUGCACCCUCGAAACGAAACAGUUUUAUAAAUCAUCAAAAGACAAAUCAUGUUUUUCGAAAUAAGUCUGCAAAUUACAACAAGGAGAGCAUUGAAAUUCCUGUGAAUAAAUCAAUGGGCUGCUUUUUGCCAAAUGAUAAAAAACUUCGAUGUUUUAUCCCCAAACUAGAUGAGAAAAAAGAGUUAGAACAAAACAAAGAAACUUUUAAAAACAGUGAGACCAAUCAGCUUGAAAUUAUUGCAGUAAGGAAACCCGUGAAUAAGCUAUCAAGAAAUGAAAAGUCUCCGAUUUCUCUCGUUUGAAUUUCAAAGUCAAUACGAGCCCAAAAUUGGGUCAUUUUUUGUACUUUGCAUAUGGUUUGAAUAUGAAUCAAAACAGGUUGUCUAUACAACUACGGUGCAAAAUAAGAUCACGUCUUUGGGGAUUGCUAUUUGGCUACAGACUUGUUUUUAAUAAACGAGGUUCAUUUGGUAGUGACAUGGGCUUUCCAAACGUAGUCCAAGAUCCAGAAUGUUCCGUAGAAGGUUGUGUUUAUGAACUAUCGUCAGAAUAUCUACCGCUUUUGGAUAUAUGUAUUGCUUCUCCAAAGCAUUACAAGAGAUUGGUUCUACCUGUUUGGAUGUGUGAAAAUCCUGCUCGAUUUGAGCAUGGUAUAUGUCAACAAUGUGUUGCUGCAGUUGUUUAUGUUGCUCAAGAAAAAUAUAUCUCGCCAGAUUUUGUGCAACUGGAUACUUCAUUUACUUUGAAGCAGUGCUUUAUAGGAACUGAUUUACUUACUCCAAACUACGUUGAAUAUUUAAAAAGUUUCAGUAUAAAUCACGAAAAGUCAUUGCAGGAUUAGAAUAUGGUGUUAAACAUAAAGUGUUUCUUUAUCGCUGUAGUAAUUCCUCUCAACUUAAUCAUGAAAUAUGUAGAAUGAUGAAGCUGAUCAUCGUCCAGAUGAAAAAAAUUGCGCAAAAUUUUCCAAAUAUUCAUGAA
Xenia sp. Carnegie-2017 is the source of this 2517-nucleotide RNA transcript. It is a transcript of the gene named 26S proteasome non-ATPase regulatory subunit 5-like, with no coding region annotated. Lineage: Eukaryota; Metazoa; Cnidaria; Anthozoa; Malacalcyonacea; Xeniidae. The transcript has 10 exons. The record is from RefSeq and is a predicted model, not a curated record.